UCCAGCAGCCAUAUCACCCUGCAGCCCAAGACUGGUCGCCUAGGGUUGAGCCUGGUCAGUACCUGGAUGGGAGACCUCCUGGGAAAACUAGGUUGCUUCUGGAA
RNAcentral lists this ribosomal RNA (104 nucleotides) under Sinocyclocheilus rhinocerous. The record is from RNAcentral. Lineage: Eukaryota; Metazoa; Chordata; Actinopteri; Cypriniformes; Cyprinidae.